CCUACGGGUGGCAGCAGUAGGGAAUCUUCCACAAUGGGCGAAAGUCUGAUGGAGCAACGCCGCGUGAGUGAAGCAGGUUUUCGGCUCGUAAAACUCUGUUGUUAGUGAAGAAAGAUAGAGGUAGUAACUGUCCUCUAUUUGACGGUAAUUACUUAGAAAGUCACGGCUAACUACGUGCCAGCAGCCGCGGUAAUACGUAGGUGGCAAGCGUUAUCCGGAUUUAUUGGGCGUAAAGCGAGUGCAGGCGGUCCAAUAAGUCUGAUGUGAAAGCCUUCGGCUUAACCGGAGAAGUGCAUUAGAAACUGUGGAACUUGAGUGCAGAAGAGGAGAGUGGAACUCCAUGUGUAGCGGUGGAAUGCGUAGAUAUAUGGAAGAACACCAGUGGCGAAGGCGGCUCUCUGGUCUGCAACUGACGCUGAGGCUCGAAAGCAUGGGUAGCGAACAGGAUUAGAUACCCCAGUAGUC
RNAcentral lists this ribosomal RNA (465 nucleotides) under uncultured bacterium. RNAcentral's name for it is "partial 16S ribosomal RNA". It matches the Rfam family "Bacterial small subunit ribosomal RNA", at positions 338 to 795 of the family's 1533-position model. The record is from RNAcentral.